Molecule: ribosomal RNA, 1000 nt
Filed under: Rhizobium sp. AVM1
Lineage: Bacteria; Pseudomonadati; Pseudomonadota; Alphaproteobacteria; Hyphomicrobiales; Rhizobiaceae
Description: bacterial SSU rRNA
Rfam family: Bacterial small subunit ribosomal RNA
Source: RNAcentral
AAAAUUAGUACUUGGGAAACUGGCCUUGAUGGAGGGGGAUAACUACUGGAAACGGUAGCUAAUACCGCAUAACGUCGCAGACCAAAGAGGGGGACCUUCGGGCCUCUUGCCAUCAGAUGUGCCCAGAUGGGAUUAGCUAGUAGGUGGGGUAACGGCUCACCUAGGCGACGAUCCCUAGCUGGUCUGAGAGGAUGACCAGCCACACUGGAACUGAGACACGGUCCAGACUCCUACGGGAGGCAGCAGUGGGGAAUAUUGCACAAUGGGCGCAAGCCUGAUGCAGCCAUGCCGCGUGUAUGAAGAAGGCCUUCGGGUUGUAAAGUACUUUCAGCGGGGAGGAAGGCGUUGAGGUUAAUAACCUCAGCGAUUGACGUUACCCGCAGAAGAAGCACCGGCUAACUCCGUGCCAGCAGCCGCGGUAAUACGGAGGGUGCAAGCGUUAAUCGGAAUUACUGGGCGUAAAGCGCACGCAGGCGGUCUGUCAAGUCGGAUGUGAAAUCCCCGGGCUCAACCUGGGAACUGCAUUCGAAACUGGCAGGCUAGAGUCUUGUAGAGGGGGGUAGAAUUCCAGGUGUAGCGGUGAAAUGCGUAGAGAUCUGGAGGAAUACCGGUGGCGAAGGCGGCCCCCUGGACAAAGACUGACGCUCAGGUGCGAAAGCGUGGGGAGCAAAACAGGAUUAGAUACCCUGGUAGUCCACGCCGUAAACGAUGUCGACUUGGAGGUUGUGCCCUUGAGGCGUGGCUUCCGGAGCUAACGCGUUAAGUCGACCGCCUGGGGAGUACGGCCGCAAGGUUAAAACUCAAUGAAUUGACGGGGGCCCGCACAAGCGGUGGAGCAUGUGGUUUAAUUCGAUGCAACGCGAGAACCUUACCUACUCUUGACAUCCAGAGAACUUUGCAGAGAUGCUUUGGUGCCUUCGGAACUCUGAGACAGGUGCUGCAUGGCUGUCGUCAGCUCGUGUGGUGAAUGUUGGGUAAGUCCGCAACGAGCGCAACCCUU